GUGCUGGGCCCAUAACCCAGAGGUCGAUGG
This 30-nucleotide non-coding RNA is filed under the name Callithrix jacchus (white-tufted-ear marmoset). The record is from RNAcentral. RNAcentral also lists the same sequence under 5 other names. Lineage: Eukaryota; Metazoa; Chordata; Mammalia; Primates; Cebidae.